ACAAAUCACAUACAUAUGACUUAUAUAUAAUUCUAUUUGGCCAUUCUGGAAUUCAUGUAAUGAAAGGGGAGAAAACAUUUCCAGAAAUUUAGAUAUGAAAGUUAAUUAGCCAGUUUAAAUACAGGGCGGCAUAUCUCAUAAAAUUCAAAUUAAUGAGCCAAUCAAAUCUCUCUCCCUUUCAGCCAGCAUUGUUCAAUACAGUGAGAGAAUAUUCAACAUGCUUAAUGAUUAAAAUAUGUAAUGAUCUCGUUACGGUAAUUGAGAAAGACAUUACUACAUAUUUGAUGAUUUUGCUGUACCUGUAAGGACCAAAUAAACAAAGCAGAUUUCACCA
Molecule: long non-coding RNA, 334 nt
Filed under: Notechis scutatus (mainland tiger snake)
Lineage: Eukaryota; Metazoa; Chordata; Lepidosauria; Squamata; Elapidae
Description: lncRNA (ENSNSUG00000010765.1)
Source: RNAcentral